AAAAACAACUCUGGAAAGUCGGGAAAAGCCCGCGCCGAAGGUGUAAGUGGAUGUUGUCACGAGUCUCUCAGGCAUCAGACAGAGGGGCGUUC
RNAcentral lists this non-coding RNA (92 nucleotides) under Attibartonella tamiae. Its description in RNAcentral is "Bartonella tamiae Glycine sequence". It matches the Rfam family "Glycine riboswitch aptamer". Rfam says of the family: This family represents the bacterial glycine riboswitch. Glycine riboswitches usually consist of two metabolite-binding aptamers domains with similar structures in tandem. The record is from RNAcentral. Lineage: Bacteria; Pseudomonadati; Pseudomonadota; Alphaproteobacteria; Hyphomicrobiales; Bartonellaceae. RNAcentral also lists the same sequence under 1 other name.